RNAcentral lists this small RNA (455 nucleotides) under Pongo abelii (Sumatran orangutan). Its description in RNAcentral is "retained intron". Lineage: Eukaryota; Metazoa; Chordata; Mammalia; Primates; Hominidae. The record is from RNAcentral.
AGAAUGUCAUAAAACAAGCACAGGAGAAACUGGGUCCAGUGGACAUGCUGGUAAAUUGUGCAGGAAUGGCAGUGUCAGGAAAGUUUGAAGAUCUUGAAGUUAGUACCUUUGAAGUUAAUGAGCAUCAAUUACCUGGGCAGCGUGUACCCCAGCCGGGCCGUGAUCACCACCAUGAAGGAGCGCCGCGUGGGCAGGAUCGUGUUUGUGUCCUCCCAGGCAGGACAGUUGGGAUUAUUUGGUUUCACAGCCUACUCUGCAUCCAAGUUUGCCAUAAGGGGAUUGGCAGAAGCUUUGCAGAUGGAGGUGAAGCCAUAUAAUGUCUACAUCACAGUUGCUUACCCACCAGACACAGACACACCUGGCUUUGCCGAAGAAAACAGAACAAAGGUCAGUAUCCUACAUGUCCCAAUUUGAACCUCUAAUGUUUACUGCUUUUCUGAUUUUCUUUCUACUCU